ACACUGAGGAAGGGCCAGAGGAGCACACAGGGAGGUGGCAGCCGUCUACAAGCCAAGAGAAGAGGUCCCCGUAUGAAACCCACCUUGUCAGCACCUUGACCUUGGACCUCCCGGCCUCCAGAACUUCACCAGCAAGGUAGAACUCCUGGAAAACCAAGGCCCAGUGAAGUUCACUGAAUGGCAGAACUGGUAUUUGAAGCAAGGUCUGUGUGCCGCUAAAGCGCUUGCUGUGUGUGGCUGACUUCACCACUGUACCUGGCUGCCUCCCUGUUCUAGAAAGAUGGCCAAAGAAGGGCUCUAAGUAAGAGAAGGAAGAAGGAAAAAAUCAAAAGCUUGGCAACAUUUCUGGGAGAGUACAGAGAACCAGAAGCACAAUUGGAGAUAGGGAGCUAGUUUCGGAAGACACACAACUUUGAGCUCAGGUUGCUGCAGUGGCGCGGGUUUGAUCCCUG
Non-coding RNA from Sus scrofa (pig), 452 nucleotides. The record is from RefSeq and is a predicted model, not a curated record. Lineage: Eukaryota; Metazoa; Chordata; Mammalia; Artiodactyla; Suidae.